Long non-coding RNA from Equus quagga, 1351 nucleotides. RefSeq lists it as uncharacterized. The transcript has 3 exons. The record is from RefSeq and is a predicted model, not a curated record. NCBI's taxonomy places the organism in Eukaryota, Metazoa, Chordata, Mammalia, Perissodactyla, Equidae.
UCCCUGAUAGAGUGAGCGAGAGCUAGACCACAGAGGAGACUGAUUCUACUCACCGUGCGAGUUGCCUUUUUAAAAGGCUUAAAAAGGGACCUUGGGAGGAUGGUUAAAACCAACCCUUAUCAUCUGACAUUUCUGCAAAGCGCAUUUCCUGCGUUUGCAACUUGGGCAAGAAAAUGGAAGGCCAGGGAAACUAGCACGAGUCAUGGAACUAGCAGGUUAUGGAGCCAGGAUUUGACACAAGGUGAUGACUCCGUGUUCCGCCUUUCAACCACCUCCCCAUGCUGCCCUUAGAAGGCCUUGGAGGAGAAGUGGAUUACAUCAGAAGGCUCUCUUGGCAGCAGUGGAUGUCAGUUAGCAUCCUGAAAACAGACCCUCAGGCUGUCGGGGAGCUCAUUGCAAAGUUCAACCUCUUAAAAAAAAGGAGAAAAACAAUCUCAAGCUUUUCUAUAAUUUUUCCCUGUUGUUCAUUUUGAGGCAUAUACAGCUGUAUUUACGCAGAGCUGACUGUAUGCUGAGUUUAGAUUAAGGGUCUUAUUAAGUCCAUCUGAAGUCUCUUCAGUAACGCAGUUAUUAACAUUAAUAAUUAAUGCAUUUAUUAUUAGUAAUGCAGUUAUUUCCUUCCUUCCUUUUUUCCUUCCUUCCUUUCUCCCUCCCUCCCGCCUUCCUUUGUUUUCUUUCUAUCCCUCUUCAUUCCUCUUUGCAGAGCCCUCUUUCAGAAAAAAAUUAGAAUAGUUCACGUUGGGCUUUGCAUUCAAAGAUCCAUAACCACAGCAGCUUAUUUUUUCCAGCUGUCAAAAAUAGCAGUUACUGUUUAAAGAGGCGAAAAUUCUUUCAGAGACUUUUUAAUAUUUUAAAGAACAAUUUGAAGACCAUUAAGUCACUUCAGAGAUUUCCCAGUGUGAUACUGAGCAACUUUCUUCAAGGAGUUUCUUUUUAUUCGUGAGAACCAAAGGCGAGGCAUCUCAGGGCAGCCAGACUGCAGUGUUGAGACGGGACCUGGUUGUGGCAUCCAAGCCUUGCGUAUUAAUAAAGCCAUUUUUUAUUUCUUUCAUUGUGUCAUGCAUUCCUAUAGCUUGAGACUCUGGAGAACGUUUGAACCAUCUCCACUAUAUAUUACUUAGAUAUUCAAAAUUCUAGUGGGAAUGUUUGCUGGUCAGUUCACAUUUCUUGGAAAGGAAUGGAAUUGUAUUUUGAUGAUGAUCUAAUCCAACUGAAGUUGAGAUUUAAAAGAAUUGGGACGUCAUUUUAAUUUAGUUAGAGCGUAUCAGCAAGGUUGUUGACUACAUCAGCCUAAUUACAACAAAUCCAAAGAACCGGACCUGCUAGAAAUUUCCAGGAUCAACAAAGGCAA